This 253-nucleotide ribosomal RNA is filed under the name uncultured bacterium. Its description in RNAcentral is "partial 16S ribosomal RNA". It matches the Rfam family "Bacterial small subunit ribosomal RNA", at positions 524 to 776 of the family's 1533-position model. The record is from RNAcentral.
UACGUAGGGUGCGAGCGUUGUCCGGAAUUAUUGGGCGUAAAGCGUGCGCAGGCGGCUUUGCAAGACAGAUGUGAAAUCCCCGGGCUCAACCUGGGAACUGCAUUUGUGACUGCAAGGCUAGAGUACGGCAGAGGGGGAUGGAAUUCCGCGUGUAGCAGUGAAAUGCGUAGAUAUGCGGAGGAACACCAAUGGCGAAGGCAAUCCCCUGGGCCUGUACUGACGCUCAUGCACGAAAGCGUGGGGAGCAAACAGG